CCUACGGGGGGCUGCAGUCGAGAAUAUUCAGCAAUGGGCGCAAGCCUGACUAUGCGACGCCGCGUGAGGGAUGAAGGUUUUCGGAUCGUAAACCUCUUUCGACAGGGAAGAAACUGCCUAUAGAAAUAUAGGAACUGACCGUACCUGGAGAAGAAGCCACGGCCAACUCCGUGCCAGCAGCCGCGGUAAUACGGGGGUGGCGAGCGUUACUCGGAUUUACUGGGUGUAAAGGGUAGGUAGGUGGCUUUGUAAGUUGAAGGUGAAAUCCUAUGACUUAAUCAUAGAACUGCCUUCAAAACUACAUUGCUUGAGGACAGAAGAGGAAAGCGGAAUUCUCGGUGUAAGGGUGAAAUCUGUAGAUAUCGAGAGGAACACCCGUGGCGAAAGCGGCUUUCUGGUCUGUCCCUGACGCUGAAGUACGAAAGCUAGGGGAGCAAACAGGAUUAGAUACCCCGGUAGUC
RNAcentral lists this ribosomal RNA (461 nucleotides) under uncultured bacterium. Its description in RNAcentral is "bacterial SSU rRNA". It matches the Rfam family "Bacterial small subunit ribosomal RNA", at positions 338 to 795 of the family's 1533-position model. The record is from RNAcentral.